AUCGCACUUAUUUUUAAUCUUAUAUGCAUUAGCAUUGUUUGUAGAAUUGCACUAGGAUUAAAGUAUUAUAUCUAUGCUAGCUAUUGUUGUCCUAGUAGAGUAGAUACUCCUCGUCAUCAUAUCCCCACCAAUAGCCAUCAAAUUAGUUUACGCUUAGCUGUGCUAUGUAAAUAUACGUGGGAGGGAACCACUUUCACUCUAGAAAUAUCGUUGGUAUAAUUGUUAUUUUGAAGUAUGGUUAAAAUCAACCCCUAAUGAACCAUCU
This 265-nucleotide long non-coding RNA is filed under the name Brachypodium distachyon (stiff brome). RNAcentral describes it as "long non-coding RNA (BDIS_LNC005510)". The record is from RNAcentral. Lineage: Eukaryota; Viridiplantae; Streptophyta; Magnoliopsida; Poales; Poaceae.